AGCGUGGGUAGCAAACAGGAUUAGAUACCCUGGUAGUCCACGCCCUAAACGAUGUCAACUAGGUGUUGGGUGGGUAAAACCAUUUAGUACCGUAGCUAACGCGUGAAGUUGACCGCCUGGGGAGUACGGCCGCAAGGUUAAAACUCAAAGGAAUUGACGGGGACCCGCACAAGCGGUGGAUGAUGUGGAUUAAUUCGAUGCAACGCGAAAAACCUUACCUACCCUUGACAUGUUCAGAAUCCCGGAGAGAUUUGGGAGUGCCCGAAAGGGAGCUGGAACACAGGUGCUGCAUGGCUGUCGUCAGCUCGUGUCGUGAGAUGUUGGGUUAAGUCCCGCAACGAGCGCGACCCUUGUCGUUAAUUGCCAUCAUUUAGUUGGGCACUUUAACGAGACUGCCGGUGACAAACCGGAGGAAGGUGGGGAUGACGUCAAGUCCUCAUGGCCCUUAUGGGUAGGGCUUCACACGUCAUACAAUGGUCGGUACAGAGGGUUGCCAAGCCGCGAGGUGGAGCCAAUCCCAGAAAGCCGAUCGUAGUCCGGAUUGCAGGCUGCAACUCGCCUGCAUGAAGUCGGAAUCGCUAGUAAUCGCGGAUCAGCAUGUCGCGGUGAAUACGUUCCCGGGUCUUGUACACACCGCCCGUCACACCAUGGGAGCGGGUUCCGCCAGAAGUAGUAGCCUAACCGCAAGGAGGGCGCUACCACGGCGGGCC
This 710-nucleotide ribosomal RNA is filed under the name uncultured bacterium. Its description in RNAcentral is "bacterial SSU rRNA". It matches the Rfam family "Bacterial small subunit ribosomal RNA", at positions 758 to 1468 of the family's 1533-position model. The record is from RNAcentral.